This 253-nucleotide ribosomal RNA is filed under the name uncultured bacterium. RNAcentral's name for it is "partial 16S ribosomal RNA". It matches the Rfam family "Bacterial small subunit ribosomal RNA", at positions 524 to 776 of the family's 1533-position model. The record is from RNAcentral.
UACAGAGGGUGCAAGCGUUACUCGGAAUUACUGGGCGUAAAGCGUGCGUAGACGGUAGCGUAAGUCGGGUGUGAAAGCCCCGGGCUCAACCUGGGAAUUGCCUUCGAGACUGCUCUGCUAGGGUGCGGAAGAGGGAAGCGGAAUUUCCGGUGUAGCGGUGAAAUGCGUAGAUAUCGGAAGGAACACCAGUGGCGAAAGCGGCUUCCUGGUCCAGCACCGACGUUCAGGCACGAAAGCGUGGGGAGCAAACAGG